This 728-nucleotide long non-coding RNA is filed under the name Gopherus agassizii (Agassiz's desert tortoise). RNAcentral's name for it is "lncRNA (ENSGAGG00000009985.1)". Lineage: Eukaryota; Metazoa; Chordata; Testudines; Testudinidae. The record is from RNAcentral.
GCCUGAUCUGCAAAGGAGAAAAUCAAUUGCACUAUAUAUCCAGUGGAAGACAAAAAGCUUUAGAGACUUGUCGAUACACUUUAAGCAUUACCUCAUGGCUGUGGGUUGCUGUAUGAGUAUGGUUGAGAAGUAUUUUGUUGCUCUGUAUGCUAGUUACUGGGCUGUCUGUCCCAGAGUGUGUGGACCUUUACAAACAUUGUCACUUCAAGAAUGAGUAAAAGGGAGAUUUCUGAGAUACCAGCAGCUCAAGUGACUCCACAGGAACUGUGGCAUUUAUCACAGACAAAAUUAGGUUGGAAGAAAGCAUAAAGGUACCAAACUAAAAAGGGAUCUAUAUUCAUCCUUAGAAGAAAAACGUUCUCACUUUGCAAACUGGGGGUUAAUUCUGCUCUUUCACAUAAGGGAGAGAAGAGGCAAAGAGGAAGGAGUGACUAACACAAAUAGCACAGUGGUAAGUCCAACUUUAUUUUAUUUAUCUAAACCUGUCUUGUUUCUGCAGCUCCAUACAUUUUUAAAUAAGAAUGAUCUUGGCAUGUAUAAGGGAAUUUAAUUUAGUAUAUUCCCUAUCUGGCAAUAUAUAUUUUUUAUACAUUUCAGGUAAUUUGUAAGACAGCUUCACCCAGUCCCCAAAGAAGGUAAAAACUGGACCAUUGGUUGCAGCAGUUGGUGACGGUGUGUUUUCACUUGCUUGCUAUAAUGUUUUCUAAAUUUAAAAUUUAGAAGAAAUC